RNAcentral lists this ribosomal RNA (497 nucleotides) under uncultured bacterium. RNAcentral's name for it is "partial 16S ribosomal RNA". It matches the Rfam family "Bacterial small subunit ribosomal RNA", at positions 28 to 507 of the family's 1533-position model. The record is from RNAcentral.
GAUGAACGCUGGCGGCGUGCCUAAUACAUGCAAGUCGAGCGAACGGACGAGAAGCUUGCUUCUCUGAUGUUAGCGGCGGACGGGCGAGUAACACGUGGAUAACCUACCUAUAUGACUGGGAUAAUUUCGGGAAACCGUAGCUAAUACCGGAUAAUAUUUUGAACCGCAUGGUUCAAAAGUGAAAGACGGUCUUGCUGUCACUUAUAGAUGGAUCCGCGCUGCAUUAGCUAGUUGGUAAGGUAACGGCUUACCAAGGCAACGAUGCAUAGCCGACCUGAGAGGGUGAUCGGCCACACUGGAACUGAGACACGGUCCAGACUCCUACGGGAGGCAGCAGUAGGGAAUCUUCCGCAAUGGGCGAAAGCCUGACGGAGCAACGCCGCGUGAGUGAUGAAGGUCUUCGGAUCGUAAAACUCUGUUAUUAGGGAAGAACAUAUGUGGAAGUAACUGUGCACAUCUUGACGGUACCUAAUCAGAAAGCCACGGCUAACUACGUG